AGAACGAACGCUGGCGGCAGGCCUCAAACAUGCAAGUCUAGGGGGUGUAGCAAUACAUCACCGGCGGACGGGUGCGUAACGCGUGGGAAUGUACCUAUUGGUUCGGAACAACUGAGGGAAACUUCAGCUAAUACCGGAUACGACCUAGGCCGACAUCGGCCAUGGUGGAAAGUUUUUCGGCUAGGGAUGGACUCGCGGCCUAUCAGCUAGUUGGUGGGGUAAAGGCCUACCAAGGCGACGACGGGUAGCCGGCCUGAGAGGGCGACCGGCCACACUGGGACUGAGACACGGCCCAGACUCCUACGGGAGGCAGCAGUGGGGAAUCUUGCGCAAUGGGCGAAAGCCUGACGCAGCGACGCCGCGUGGGGGAUGAAGGCCUUCGGGUUGUAAACCCCUUUCAGCAGGGACGAAGCGAAAGUGACGGUACCUGCAGAAGAAGCGCCGGCUAACUACGCGCCAGCAGCCGC
RNAcentral lists this ribosomal RNA (467 nucleotides) under uncultured bacterium. Its description in RNAcentral is "SSU rRNA". It matches the Rfam family "Bacterial small subunit ribosomal RNA", at positions 26 to 518 of the family's 1533-position model. The record is from RNAcentral.